Molecule: small nuclear RNA, 103 nt
Organism: Nymphaea colorata (pocket water lily)
Lineage: Eukaryota; Viridiplantae; Streptophyta; Magnoliopsida; Nymphaeales; Nymphaeaceae
Source: RefSeq, a predicted model, not a curated record
UGUCUUUUUGAGACAUCAAGAAAACGAAAUUGGAAGGAUAUAAGAGAAGAUUAGCAUGACCCCUAUACAAGAAAAUACCCACAAAAAGGUCUUGUUUUGUUUU